AUGGUUUCUCCUUCUCCUUGCCCGGUGGCUGUGGGUGGUGGAAUUCUGGUUGUGCUGGUCCAGCUUUUUAGUGGCUGGAAGCUUUGCAUCGCUGUCAUGAAUGCCUCUCAUGCAAAACCACCGCAGGUGCCCAGAGCAGCUGUGGUGUCCCUGCACCCCUGGCAGUGCCCAAGGCCAGGCUGGACAGGAUUUGGAGCAGCCUGGGACAGUGGGAGGUGUCCCUGCCAUGGCACGGGUGGCACUGGGUGGUGGGCUUUAAGGUCCCUCCCAACCCAUGAUUCCCCAAUUCAAAUCAGGCUAAACAUUCAAGCCCAAAGUGUUUUUCUUUUCUUUUUCCACAAAUUCCUGAAGCCAGGUGGAUCACGUCCCAUUUCUGUUUCCCCUUCCAUGCAAGAUCUGGAGCUGUUUCUCUUCCACAUCACUGCAGAAAAAGCCAAGCGCAGACAAGCUGAGCCUUCAGAAAUGUCACAAAGCUGGUUGUGGUUUGAUGGGAGGGAGCAGCUCAUCCCUGAGCCAAACUCGAGGCAGCUGCAGGAGAUUCACAAGUUAUUCAGCCAACGUGGAAUCAGCCCCGAUAAGAAACAUCGAGUUACUGGAGCAGGAUUUCUCUGUGUAAAUUGAAAUCAGGACUGUGUAAAGCUAAACUUUUGUCAUGAAGCUGCAGAGCUGGCACUUGUAUUCUUCCAGGAUAAAUUGGCAGCAUCUACUGAGAAGAGCCUUGGAACAGUGCUUUGACUGCAGUAGCUGCUUUUAGAGUAACAGCAAAAGGAGGUAAUCUGUUCUUCAAAAUCCUAAAAUGAUACUAAUUUACAGAGCAAGAGAAUGAACUGCACCAUGCUCUGCUUAGGGAACUGCUCCACAAAACUGAAUUUCUACUCUAGAGCUGCUUUACUUUGAUAAUUGACCAUCUGGAGGAAUUUUGUUAAUUGUUCCUCUCUCUUCCCCUGCCUUUAAUUCCAAUGUUCCCUCUCUAGCCCAGGGGAAUGAAGCCAAAGGGUUUUCAUUUCAAGUUUGAAAAGCUGGUCAGCUUUCAUUAGGGCCUCCGUCACUUUAAAUCAGCUCUUCCCAAAAAACAAUUGAAAAUAAUUACCUGAGCUUCUCCUGGGCUUCAGGGUCAGCAGAAAGGUGAUCAACUGAAGACAGACCAAAAGACACUGCUCCUGUCAAAGCCUGGACACUUCCCAAGGUCUGAGCCAAGGAAAUAACAGCGAGUUUCAUAAUCCCUGUCCGUGCCAGUUAAGAACCCACACAAAAACUCUUGCAAGUUUUAUAUGUGAUUUCCAAGUGUCCUUCAUGCUGCUGCUUCUUCUGGCUUUGUCCUGGCUCUUAGAAUCACAGAAUCAUGGGAUAAUUAAAUUUGGAAAAUAUCUCUAAGGUCAUCGAGUCCUGUUGUGGUGUGUUUUGCUUUGAAUCCAAGUUCGCUUCCUGUUCUCUCUAAUCCCCUCCCUUCCCCACUGGCCAAUUUUCCCAAGCCCUUCCCUAACCUCCUCCCUUCCAAGUUGUCAAUCCUCCCUAUCCCUACCCCUUUCUCCAUAGAAUUCUGUGUCUGUCUUGUUGCCCUCGACACCCCAUUUGUUCCUUUGUAUUAUUCCCCCCUCCCAUUUUCCCUGGUGGGCUCAUGAGCCAUUUGCCCACCUUAUACUCCUCUCUUACCAUAUCCUCACUGGUUCACUUUCCUACACGCCUCCUCCUGACUUGCUGGGUAAAAAUUUCUGUUCACCCCACCCGCAGUCCUGUCUGGGAGCCCAGGAAUA
Taeniopygia guttata (zebra finch) is the source of this 1754-nucleotide long non-coding RNA. NCBI's taxonomy places the organism in Eukaryota, Metazoa, Chordata, Aves, Passeriformes, Estrildidae. The record is from Ensembl.